UUUUCAGGAUAAGUAUGUCCUAUGGAUAUUUGGGAUAUACUUAUACUAAAA
Molecule: microRNA precursor, 51 nt
Filed under: Camelus bactrianus (Bactrian camel)
Lineage: Eukaryota; Metazoa; Chordata; Mammalia; Artiodactyla; Camelidae
Also listed under: 3 other names
Description: mir-1302 microRNA precursor family
Rfam family: mir-1302 microRNA precursor family
Source: Rfam by way of RNAcentral